GAUGAACGCUGACAGAAUGCUUAACACAUGCAAGUCAACUUGAAUUUGGGUUUUUAACUUAGGUUUGGGUGGCGGACGGGUGAGUAACGCGUAAAGAACUUGCCUCACAGCUAGGGACAACAUUUGGAAACGAAUGCUAAUACCUAAUAUUAUGAUAAUAGGGCAUCCUAUAAUUAUGAAAGCUAAAAGCGCUGUGAGAGAGCUUUGCGUCCCAUUAGCUAGUUGGAGAGGUAACGGCUCACCAAGGCGAUGAUGGGUAGCCGGCCUGGGAGGGUGAUCGGCCACAAGGGGACUGAGACACGGCCCUUACUCCUACGGGAGGCAGCAGUGGGGAAUAUUGGACAAUGGACCGAGAGUCUGAUCCAGCAAUUCUGUGUGCACGAUGAAGUUUUUCGGAAUGUAAAGUGCUUUCAGUUGGGAAGAAACAAAUGACGGUACCAACAGAAGAAGUGACGGCUAAAUACGUGCCAGCAGCCGCGGUAAUACGUAUGUCACGAGCGUUAUCCGGAUUUAUUGGGCGUAAAGCGCGUCUAGGUGGUUAUGUAAGUCUGAUGUGAAAAUGCAGGGCUCAACUCUGUAUUGCGUUGGAAACUGUAUAACUAGAGUACUGGAGAGGUAAGCGGAACUACAAGUGUAGAGGUGAAAUUCGUAGAUAUUUGUAGGAAUGCCGAUGGGGAAGCCAGCUUACUGGACAGAUACUGACGCUGAAGCGCGAAAGCGUGGGUAGCAAACAGG
This 735-nucleotide ribosomal RNA is filed under the name uncultured Fusobacterium sp. RNAcentral's name for it is "bacterial SSU rRNA". It matches the Rfam family "Bacterial small subunit ribosomal RNA", at positions 28 to 776 of the family's 1533-position model. Lineage: Bacteria; Fusobacteriati; Fusobacteriota; Fusobacteriia; Fusobacteriales; Fusobacteriaceae. The record is from RNAcentral.